Molecule: ribosomal RNA, 253 nt
Filed under: uncultured bacterium
Lineage: Bacteria
Description: partial 16S ribosomal RNA
Rfam family: Bacterial small subunit ribosomal RNA
Source: RNAcentral
UACGUAGGGGCCAAGCGUUGUCCGGAUUUAUUGGGCGUAAAGAGCGUGUAGGCGGCCAGAUAGGUCUGCUGUGAAAACUCGAGGCUCAACCUCGAGAUGUCGGCGGAAACCAUUUGGCUAGAGUCCGGAAGAGGAAAGUGGAAUUCCUGGUGUAGCGGUGAAAUGCGCAGAUAUCAGGAAGAACACCCGUGGCGAAGGCGGCUUUCUGGGACGGUACUGACGCUGAGACGCGAAAGCGUGGGGAGCGAACAGG